ACAGGAACCAAAGUUUUAUCAGAUAAAGUGGAAAGCAAAUCGAUAUAUUUCCCUUCUAGUUCUAUAAAACUCUUAAUCAAAAUAAUGUCGCAAGAUCGUUCGAAACAAGCGAUAAAAUCAUGAAGUAGCUUCAUGUUAUCUGCAGAAGGUGGUUCAGGGGUAUUAUUACUGUUAUCAUAAAAAUCUGGAAAUGGGUAUUUUUCACCUGGGUUUUUGAAAGCAUGUAGGCCAAUGGAAGAGCUGGCUGCUGCCGUGGUUAGGAAAUAAACUGCCGGAAUAUUGUGAGACGAAGCGAUCUCCGGUGCCCAUGAGGGAUUGAAAUCAUAAAUAAGCAAAUCGGGGUUUAAGGUUUUAAGGAUUUCAGAGAAGGUGGGGCCUGCUGUUUCAAAGGCGUUUAUGAGUGGGACCAUGAGAUGGGAAGGGAGGCCAUUUGUGGUGUGAUAGUGAGGAGGAAGAUCAGGGGAAGAUGGAAGAUGAAGCUCAACUAGUUUUAUAGAAGCAGAGGAAUCCUUAUUCUUGAUGGAGCUAAGAUUGAUUGGGGUAGAACAGAGGAAAACAUUGCAAUUUCUUUUUGCGAGUUGUUUGGCUAGCUCAAAGAAGGGAGAUAUGUGACCAUGGGCUAAAAAUGGUAGCAACGCUAUACUGAUUCUACCUUCUUGGUUAUCCAUGAAUGAACUCUGUUUGUUUCUCUCUCUCUUGCUGUAUAAUUUCAUUAGCCAAGGGUGUGUAUAUAAAUAAAAGAGUAAAAUAUAUUGACACCCCCCGUACAUAAUUAUAAUAACACUCACCAUUUUUUUAGUUUUUCAAGUAACAGUCAGUACCCCUCUAAUCUACAAUAUGUAACAUUCACCGCCUCUAGUAUGGUUGACCAACUAAUAUUUAAAAAUAUUUUUAAUAUAAUGUCUAAUACACCCUUCAAGUUAUAAUGUUUAAUUUCUCCACUAAAUAUAAAUUUGUAUAUCAUAAUUUUUAUUUUACUUGAUCUAAUUAAUUAAAUUAUGAAAUUGUGUAAUAAAUAACAUAAAAGUCAAAAAAUAAUAAAUAUUCAUUUUAUCAGGAAAAUAAAGUCAUGCAAUUUUUAUUAAUUAAAUUUCUCAAAUAUUAAAAUUUAUGUGAUAUAUAUUCAAAUAAUUUUUUUUAAUUAAAAAGUAUAAUAUUAAUACCCAUGAAAAUUACAAAUUAACGCAAUAAAAUUAUUAUUAUUAUUUUCAAAUAUUAAAAUUUACGUAAAACAAACUUAUUAUUACAAUUUAAACGAAUCUUAUUACUCAUAUAAAAAAGUAUUAAAAAUUAUAUUAAUUAUUUUUCUCAUAUAUUAAACUAAACAUAAGUCACACUUAAACAUAAUUAUUUACAGUAAAAAUGACAAAUGUUGUUACUUAAAAAAGAAAAGAAAAAAUAUAUGAAAAGAAUUUUUUUUUAAAAAGAUAGAGGUAGUAAUAAUAUAAUUAUAUUUUUUUAUUUAAUAUUACAUAAAAACAGCGUCAACUGUAUACUAAAAAAAUAUAAUCAAAAUCAUAAACAUCCCAAUUUUUUAUAUAUACUCAAUAAAAAUUAUAAUAUGAAAUAAAAUUCAAAUAAUAUUUUUUGUUGUUAAGUACCAAAAAUUAAACUAUCAAUAUACUCAAUCACUCUAAUUAGAAUAGCUUCAUUAAUAAUUUAAUUUUUUUAAAUAUUUAUAUCACUUAUCCAAAAAUAUGUGUUAGUUAAAGUAAAUUAAUUUUUUAUAAGUUACCAACAAUUUAAAUGAGAUAGUUUUAAUUAUAAAUAAAAUUAUAAUUAAAAUGUCUUGUAUUAAAAAAAAGGAUAAUUAAAUAUAUAUAUAUAUAUAUUAUUUAGUAAUUAAAAUUUGAUAAAAUACAAGGGUAAAUAUGUAAUUUUAUCUAUUUAGUCAAUCCUAAAAACUUGCAGAGGUACUAACUGUUAUUUAAAAAAUUAGAGGAGAGGUGAAUGUUAUUAUGAUUAUCUAGAGGGGAUGUCACUGUAUUUUAUUCUAAAUAAAAUAAGUGGACAAGGGGUAGCGCCGCCCAAGAAGACGAGAUUGAGAUUGGGAUUGGGAAUUGGAAAGAGUGGCCUAUAACUCUUGAUCCCAACACGUGUUAAACGUGAUUGGGAAAGACAGGCAUAUAAGUCUUGUUGUCCCAAUUGUGUGUUGAUCUUAAAACUUAAAACUUCGCGUGGCUGAAAUAAAUAAGCCACUGCAAUCAAAAAUCAAAACUAUGAUUCUAUUAUAAAGUCACGCCAUUUUAUUAAUUUUUUUUAUAAAUAUAUUAUUGAAUUUAUUAAGUAAAAUAAUUUUAAUAAGAAUAUAUUUUCUUUCAAAAAUUAUAAGUAUUAUUUAACUUAUAAUAAAAUUUUAUUUAUACUUAAACUUAAUUAAUUACAUUUGUAUUUUAAUUAAGGGUAAAAGUUCAAAUUAGGUAAUACUAUAUAUGUGGAAGAAAAAAAAUUGUCAAACUAUAUUAUCUAGGCUAUAAUAAAAUUUUAUUUAUUAAUGGUAAUAAUUAAUUUUCCAGAUAUAUGACCCAAAAAUGUAGCAAACUGCCACUGCCUAACCAUUAGAGGUCAUUCUCACCAAGGCACGACUCUAGAAGUUCGAAAUUCCAUAGACAAUCUAAACCACAAUUAUGCAUUGUAAAUAUCACAUAUUAAGCAUAAUUAAAAAUGGGAAAUAAAGUAAUUAAGUUGGAAGAUUCUGAACGGUCCUUGUUCUUUAUCAAUUAAAAGAUUUAAAAUGUUCUGUUUGAGUAUAUAGAUAUCCUGAAUUUUUAAUAUUUUUUCAUUUUAGGAUUGUCUUUUCAAUUUUUUCUAUUACAAGAUUAAAUUUUUAAUUUUUUUUUAUUACGUCUAAUUGAUAAUAUCAUGUCAGAAAAUUAAUGACAUAGUAGCGACACAUAACUAAAAAAAUACUUAUAUAUAUUAUUGAGUCUCAUUUUAAUAUUUAUUCAAAAAAAAAAAUAAAGGUGUAAAUUCGCAGUACCGUAAAUACCAUUUACUUAAAAUGAUGGAACCAAGUUGUUUAAAUUUUUACAUCAUUUAAAAAAAUAUCAUUGACCCUUGUUAUCCAUUUUCCAUCAUAACAUGGAAUCUCUCAUACAUGAUAUAACAAUUCUUAAUCACUUAUUUUUAAAUACAUUCAGAUCUAAUUUUCAUAUUUGUAUAAAAAAAUCUCCUUCAAUUUAAUUCAGCUCUCUACAUACUGCGCGUUAACUAUAAUUAAGACCUUUCAAAUUACUUUUAGAAGGUAAAAUAUCUAUAAAUAAAAUUAAAUACUCCACUACUUGUCUUAUUAUUGGGACGGUCUCAUCGUGAUUAGUGCCAAUUAUAUAUUACUAUUUUCGUUCUUAAGAGAUUGUCAUUUAAGAUUUUUACAUAUGAAUUAAAAAAUUACUGUAUAAUUUAUCAAGUAAAAUUUAUUUGAAAUUCCAUCACUACCUCUUUAUGGGAAAUUAAAAACUAUUAAUACAAAGAAGAGAAUUUUUUCGGACAAUGAGAGAAAGUAGAGAUAAUAUAGAAAAGUAAAUAAUUUAUUCUUCUCAAAAGUUAUAAACGACAAAUAUUUUAAAAUAUAUUUUUUUUAAAACGAUAAUCUUUUAACAACGGGAGGAGUAAUAUAAUUGGCAAGACAUUGUAGGCUUUUAGCAGCUUAAUUUAGUUUUAUUACAUACCAAACCAAUGAAAAUCAACCAUUCCUUGAUUUUCUUCACAACACAAAGUCCAAGUACACAAACCACUUUAAUUAUAGCAUACAAAGAAAGAGUUCAAAGCCCAACCUAAGCGCAUUCAAAAUGAUUUUAAAGGGAAAAAAAUUAGUCUAUUACUACUAUUGUUCAUCUUUCUUCUUCUUACAAAUUUGUACUAGCUCCUCCACUGCCCUAUCAAUCAAUUGCUCUCCUAUCUCUUUCAUUUUCUCACUCAAUUCCCUUGCUUUCCUCCUGAUAACCUCCCCACUUUUCUCCACCACGACUUUUCUUAUUACCCCUGCAAUAUCUUCUCUCUUAUACUUCCCAUUUUCAUCUCUCACAACCUCCAUGCCCACACCAACCUCCGCCGCCAGCUUAGCAUUCAAAGGCUGAUCAAAAUGCCUGGCCAUGGCAAUUACUGGAACCCCAAACUUCAUACUCUCCGUAAUAGAACUCCACCCACAAUGGCUCACAAACCCACCGGUGCUUGAAUGUCCUAAAAUUCUUGCCUGUGGAGCCUACCCCUCCACAACCAAUCCUCUGUCUCCUACCCUUUGAACAAACCCCUCUGGUAAAACCCCUUUUUUCUCUCCUUCAAUUAAUCUCACAGCCCAUAUGAAAUUAACCAUGCUAAUCUCUAGCCCAAUUGCUACUUCUUCCAAUUCCUCAUUGGAGAGAAAAUACUCACUUCCAAAGCAGACAAACACCACUGUAGAUUCAGCCCUUUUGUCAAGCCAGUUUAUAAACUGCUCUGUUUUUGGAUCUUCAUUAUGGCCCAUAGGAUCUUGAACGAGUGGACCAACAGGAACCAAAGUUUUAUCAGAUAAAGUAGAAUAAAAAUCAAAAUAUUUCCCUUCUAGUUCUCUAAAACUCUUAAUCAAAAUAAUGUCGCAAGAUCGUUCGAAACAAGUCAUAAAAUCAAGUAAUAACUUCAUGUUAUCUGCUGAAGGUGGUUCAGGGGUAAUAUUACUGUUAUCAUCAAAAUCUAGAAAUGGGUAUUUUUCACCUGGGUUUUUGAAACUAUGUAGGCUCAUGGAAAAGGAGGCUGCUCCCCCAAUUAUGAAACAAACUGCCGGAAUAUUGUGAGACGAAGCGAUCUCCGGUGCCCAUGAGGGAUUGAAAUCAUAAAUAAGCAAAUCAGGGUUUAAG
RNAcentral lists this long non-coding RNA (4832 nucleotides) under Panax ginseng (ginseng). RNAcentral describes it as "long non-coding RNA (PGIN_LNC018180)". Lineage: Eukaryota; Viridiplantae; Streptophyta; Magnoliopsida; Apiales; Araliaceae. The record is from RNAcentral.